RNAcentral lists this ribosomal RNA (254 nucleotides) under uncultured bacterium. RNAcentral's name for it is "partial 16S ribosomal RNA". It matches the Rfam family "Bacterial small subunit ribosomal RNA", at positions 524 to 776 of the family's 1533-position model. The record is from RNAcentral.
GACGGAGGGCGCAAGCGUUGUUCGGAAUUACUGGGCGUAAAGCGCGGGCAGGUGGUCUGUUAAGUCGUUUGUGAAAAUCCGGGGCUCAACCCCGCGAAAUGCAGACGAUACUGGCAGGCUGGAGAUCGGUAGAGGCUAGCGGAAUUCCUGGUGUAGAGGUGGAAUGCGUAGAUAUCAGGAAGAACACCUGUGGCGAAGGCGGCUAGCUGGGCCGAGUCUGACACUCAUCCGCGAAAGCGUGGGGAGCAAACAGG